UUAAGGAAAAAUGCCUGCACCUUUCCCAAGGAGACUUUUUGAAUACCACACUUCGAUCACAAUUCACUAAUUGGAAGCACCUUCGCAAUACCAAAAAUAAAGAAAAAAAAUAAAACCAUUCAUAUAUGAAAUCGUAUCAUUCAUGGUUAGAUAGGCAUAAAUAUUAAGACAUUUCAACGUCGAAGACACCGCACUUGAAAGAAUCGAGGUGCUAUGCUAUCUUUCAAUAGCUUAAUAAGUUAGCCAAAUCA
Schizosaccharomyces pombe (fission yeast) is the source of this 251-nucleotide non-coding RNA. NCBI's taxonomy places the organism in Eukaryota, Fungi, Ascomycota, Schizosaccharomycetes, Schizosaccharomycetales, Schizosaccharomycetaceae. The record is from the annotation of a GenBank genome assembly.